UCUUUCCUCAUAUGACUAAUUUCAAUUCGGCUAUCAUUCAUCAAACCCUAUAAAAGCUCCUUAAACAAUAAGCAUUCUUCCAUAUCAUGAAGUGUCUUUGGAUGCAGCGGGCACCGAUCCUCCUCAUUACCCUCACAAUCAACCAUACUGGCUUUGCACAACACUUUCAAGAUAAACCUCUUAGAAGUUAAGACAUCCUCCACCCUUUUCUUCAAUUC
RNAcentral lists this unclassified non-coding RNA (218 nucleotides) under uncultured bacterium. Its description in RNAcentral is "contains 16S-23S intergenic spacer region". The record is from RNAcentral.